This 212-nucleotide long non-coding RNA is filed under the name Homo sapiens (human). RNAcentral describes it as "HSALNT0017921". The record is from RNAcentral. Lineage: Eukaryota; Metazoa; Chordata; Mammalia; Primates; Hominidae.
AAAAUUUAUCUACUUAAAUCAGCAUUCAUUGUUUCAUUGUUUUAUCUGAAAUAAACAGACAAAGAAACUGCCAGUCUAGGAACACAUUAGGUAAAUGUUUAAGGGGUGUAUCAAUUCCUAACAUCUUAAGUGUUGAAGCUAAUCAAAAGUAUGCACUAACUCUUUAUUUCUGUAAAUAUUACAGAAUAAUUUCUAGUACAACAAAUAAUUUU